This 497-nucleotide ribosomal RNA is filed under the name uncultured bacterium. Its description in RNAcentral is "partial 16S ribosomal RNA". It matches the Rfam family "Bacterial small subunit ribosomal RNA", at positions 28 to 507 of the family's 1533-position model. The record is from RNAcentral.
GAUGAACGCUGGCGGCGUGCCUAAUACAUGCAAGUCGAGCGAACAGACGAGGAGCUUGCUCCUCUGACGUUAGCGGCGGACGGGUGAGUAACACGUGGAUAACCUACCUAUAAGACUGGGAUAACUUCGGGAAACCGGAGCUAAUACCGGAUAAUAUAUUGAACCGCAUGGUUCAAUAGUGAAAGACGGGUUUGCUGUCACUUAUAGAUGGAUCCGCGCCGCAUUAGCUAGUUGGUAAGGUAACGGCUUACCAAGGCAACGAUGCGUAGCCGACCUGAGAGGGUGAUCGGCCACACUGGAACUGAGACGCGGUCCAGACUCCUACGGGAGGCAGCAGUAGGGAAUCUUCCGCAAUGGGCGAAAGCCUGACGGAGCAACGCCGCGUGAGUGAUGAAGGUCUUCGGAUCGUAAAACUCUGUUAUUAGGGAAGAACAAAUGUGUAAGUAACUAUGCACGUCUUGACGGUACCUAAUCAGAAAGCCACGGCUAACUACGUG